CGCAAAUUGUGGUUGGCCUAGGUGGAAAAGGUGGAACUGAUAGUCAGUCGGAGACGAGCCACUAGUCGGAAAGGAGCUACCAUUUGUGCACUGUCAAUGUAAAGGUGCAUAUCAUGCUGAUUCAGAGAGAGGCUUUUACUGCUUCUUUCCAAUGCCUCGGAUUGGUGGAUAAAUAGCUGGAUCUAUUCUGGAAUUUGUAUGAAUCAUCGCCAUGAAGAUACGAUAAAGUCCGGCAAUUCUACCUGAAAUUCCACCUACCAACAUGCAGUUGCCACCACAUUGCGCAAUCACUGUAACGUAAUACUAUAUUGAUGUACAGUGAAGGAUCAGCCUAAUGGAUGUGUUAGUGUGCUGAAAUAUAAGGUAAUUCAUAUCGGAA
Long non-coding RNA from Schistocerca serialis cubense, 379 nucleotides. RefSeq lists it as uncharacterized. NCBI's taxonomy places the organism in Eukaryota, Metazoa, Arthropoda, Insecta, Orthoptera, Acrididae. The transcript has 2 exons. The record is from RefSeq and is a predicted model, not a curated record.